UACGGAAGGUCCGGGCGUUAUCCGGAUUUAUUGGGUUUAAAGGGAGCGCAGGCGGAAGAUUAAGCGUGACGUGAAAUGUACCGGCUCAACCGGUGACGUGCGUCGCGAACUGGUUUUCUUGAGUGAGUACGACGUGUACGGAAUUCGUGGUGUAGCGGUGAAAUGCUUAGAUAUCACGAAGAACUCCGAUUGCGAAGGCAGUGCACGAGUCCUUUACUGACGCUAAAGCUCGAAGGUGCGGGUAU
RNAcentral lists this ribosomal RNA (245 nucleotides) under uncultured Prevotella sp. RNAcentral's name for it is "partial 16S ribosomal RNA". It matches the Rfam family "Bacterial small subunit ribosomal RNA", at positions 524 to 768 of the family's 1533-position model. Lineage: Bacteria; Pseudomonadati; Bacteroidota; Bacteroidia; Bacteroidales; Prevotellaceae. The record is from RNAcentral.